This 80-nucleotide transfer RNA is filed under the name Serpula lacrymans var. lacrymans S7.9. RNAcentral describes it as "tRNA-Leu (AAG) (tRNA-Leu-AAG-1-1)". It matches the Rfam family "tRNA". From Rfam's summary of the family: Transfer RNA (tRNA) molecules are approximately 80 nucleotides in length. Their secondary structure includes four short double-helical elements and three loops (D, anti-codon, and T loops). Lineage: Eukaryota; Fungi; Basidiomycota; Agaricomycetes; Boletales; Serpulaceae. RNAcentral also lists the same sequence under 1 other name. The record is from RNAcentral.
GGCAAGGUGGCCGAGCGGUCUAAGGCGCCAGACUAAGGAUCUGGUCCUUCGGGGCGCGAGUUCGAAUCUCGCCCUUGUCA